Ictidomys tridecemlineatus (thirteen-lined ground squirrel) is the source of this 937-nucleotide non-coding RNA. The record is from RefSeq and is a predicted model, not a curated record. NCBI's taxonomy places the organism in Eukaryota, Metazoa, Chordata, Mammalia, Rodentia, Sciuridae.
UUGGAGGUCAGCAGAAUUAUUGGUGAGCAAUUUCUCUAACAGAGGGAGGGAAUUUAGGGUUUAGAAGUUUCCCCAUUCCAAGAACACAAAGGCAUUUGUAUGGAGUUAGUGUCCAGUGGAGGCUGGGAGCUCACACACCCCAAUUACUGCCUCAGCAUCAGAAAGGCUCAGCCCCGAGGCCACACUACUACUGUCAACGUAACUUGUGGAAGACACUAUGGAGGAGCAGUAAUAGGAUGUUACUUUUGGGGAAGUAUUUCCAACUGGUGGACAUCUGGCUCCCAGUGAUUCCCAUGGAAGAAGAGGGGGUAGAUGCCUUCCCAGUCUCUGAGAUUCCCUCUGAGCCAUCUUCCUCCCGUUUUUGUCUAAGUGAAUAAAACUGGUAGUUGGGGAUAUGUCAGAAGGUCCUGGACAUUGGAGUAACAAGGGAAAAGAGAACCACAGAAAAUAACAGCCUCAUGUAAUAGCAUCCAUUUUAUUUCUGAUGCAGAAUGAUAAAAGACUGUUGAAUUGGAUGGUCAAGAGAGCAUCUUUGAAAAAUAUGGAGGAACGUGGUAACUGAAGAGCCUGGUUACCACCAUAAUACUUUCUGUCUACGAAUUUGAUGACUUUAAUACCUCCUUUUAAUGGAAUUGUACCAUAUGUAUCCUUUUGUGUUUGAUUUAUUUCACCUUUCUUUGCAUCUUCAAGAUUCAUACAUGUUGUAGCCUGUGUCAGAAUUGUGCUUUUUUAGGCCAAUAAUGAUCUACUGAAUGUGCAUACUAUAUUUUAUUUAACCAUUCACUCAUGGGUGAACACUUGGUUUGUUUCCACCUUUCAACUAUUAUGAGUAAUACUGAUAUAAAUGUUAAAUGUACAAAUGUCUUUGUGGAUCCUUGCUUCUAAUUUUUCUGAGUGUAUACCACCAGAAUUGAAAUUGCUGGGUCAUCUAGUAAUC